Leptopilina heterotoma is the source of this 618-nucleotide long non-coding RNA. RefSeq lists it as uncharacterized. The transcript is spliced from 4 exons. NCBI's taxonomy places the organism in Eukaryota, Metazoa, Arthropoda, Insecta, Hymenoptera, Figitidae. The record is from RefSeq and is a predicted model, not a curated record.
CUAAAACGUGCAUUAUAUUGUGAGAAUUGAAGAGCAGAUCUAAACUGCCGGGAAGCCAUUUUUCCGGUAUGCGGAGCGCUCCUAUUAUUCCACCAAUCACAGCCACCACGUCCUGAAAAAAAGAGACAAUUAAUUUACUUGUAAGAUGACGUGCAUCAUAGCGCUAGGACUUCCACCACCGAUACCGUAGCAUCUUAAACCCAAAACCAGAAGUCUCAUGCACAGUGGAGGAAGAAAGCAGAGACGUCUUUGCCAAGGAGACUUUGCGACCAUCGCCUACAAUAAUUGAACACUGAAUAUUAACAUUUUUCACGUACAAUUGUUAAUGAUUCUUUAGUGUUUUUCAGUAGUGGAAAAACUUACUUUCCAGAGACCCAAUAAACUAAGGAAGCAAUAGAUUGAGAUGCAACAAUACUGAAGGAAACCUGAUGAGCAAUGCACAGAAGUUACUAUCAUCGGCAGGGCUCCUGAAGAAAUCGUCGAGUUUCGACAAUGAAAAAACAAAAUCAAAUGAUGGAAAAAGGAAUUUAAGAAAAUGAACGAAUCAAUAAAGUGAGAAGUCUGGGAGAAAAUUUUUACCAAAACUUUGACAGAGCCAAAUGCCGAGCAUAUCAAUUU